RNAcentral lists this ribosomal RNA (327 nucleotides) under uncultured eukaryote. RNAcentral describes it as "partial 18S ribosomal RNA". It matches the Rfam family "Eukaryotic small subunit ribosomal RNA", at positions 1470 to 1796 of the family's 1831-position model. The record is from RNAcentral.
CCCUUAGAUGUUCUGGGCCGCACGCGCGCUACACUGACGAAUGCAACGAGCUUAUAACCUUGGCCGAAAGGUCUGGGUAAUCUCCAAAUUUCGUCGUGAUGGGGAUAGAUUAUUGCAAUUAUUAAUCUUCAACGAGGAAUGCCUAGUAAGCGCAAGUCAUCAGCUUGCGUUGAUUACGUCCCUGCCCUUUGUACACACCGCCCGUCGCUCCUACCGAUUGAAUGGUCCGGUGAAGCGCUCGGACCGCGGCCUCUUGACGGUUUUCCGUCGAUUGGCUGUGGGAAGUUCGUUAAACCUUAUCAUUUAGAGGAAGGAGAAGUCGUNACA